AACAGAGUGACAUGAUUGAUAGUGACUGAGGGAGGCUACUUUGGAUAAGAUUGGGAACUGAUAGGGUGGAAUUCUAGAGGCACCAUAUGAUGUCCUUCUGAAGAAAUUUCAGGGGGUCAGGAAACCCAGACUUAAUACCCACAGAAAACGGCAAGAGUAUGGAUCUCCAUCACCAGGGGGCCAGGUGACACUUGAAGGAAUCACAAAGAGAAGACUUUGAGAUGGCAAUACAUCUCAGAAAAUGUCAUGUUUGUAACAUGCUGAUCUUCUGAAUAUUUCUACAAGCUACCCAGACAUGUGUUCAACCCAAAUAGGGAGGCAUCUUCAGAAAUUCUUCACAAUCACCCAAGAAAUCAUAAAAUGAAGGUCCUAUGAUCGUUGUCUAUGCGAACAAAUGAUGCUUAAAUAGUUUCAGAAAGAUUGGAAUAGAAAGCAAGCUCUGUCAGUAGACCUCUCAAAUUGUGUGUUCCUUGUAUUCCAUGGAUAUAGUCAUUCAAAAUAAAAUAGUAUUAUGAUAACAUGAAUUUUAUAGCAGCCUUUUUUGUGCAAAUAAGCCCCAUAGAUAAAUGUAUAAUAAAAGCAACCAUUACCAUAGGACAGUAUUUUACACUGCAAGUGUGUGAUCAAUGUAACUGAAUCCUCAGAAAUCUGGGAUUCUGAGCAUCAAGCCACUCAAAUGUUUUGUCAUUUUUAUUAGCAAGAUAAAAACCAAAGCACUAUUUCGUUAUUGACCAGAACAGUCUUCUUAUUUUCUCACUUUUGCAGCUUUUCUCACCAAUACUAACUCAGUGUUUUAUCUUCAACUAGUUUUAAUGAUCUCCAUAGCCACUAAUAUAAACACAGGAUAAAUUUAUAAGCUCAGGGUUUUGGUAAUGUUAGUCAAGUAUACACCAGAUAAAAGACAGUGUCAUCCAUUUCUGAGGCAAGCUGAGUGAGGUCAUGAAUAAGAUUGUGGCAGAAGCCUGCCCAUUGACUUAGGAAUGGGGACUGUAGCCAAGAUAUCCCAAACACAUGAUCCUACAAUAUAUUUUAUCAAUACUUGCAUUUGUUUAAAAAUUAAAAUCAAGAUAUUUUAUAUAGCAACCCAUUUUCUGUUGAAAAUGUUUAAAUUCUAAAAGUAAGAGCUGAACUCCUUCAUACACCCUUCCGCCUGCUGCAUAUAUCCGUGUCCUCAGCCCUUCUUCGGAUUCCGUGUUUACAAGGUCAAGAGGAUGGACAGGAGGUUUCAGUGACCAACGCCCGCUCCAGGCUUAUUUUAUUUUGUUAACAAUGUCAUGUCUGAGAAUUUAAACGGAAUGUAAAGAACAAGACAGUUCUAUUCACUAAAAAAGGGAUUAUGUGUUCUAACACUAACUUAUCAGUAUGUUUUGGGAGUAUACAAAAUUGCAGAAACUUCUCUGUAGAUUUUUCCUGGCUCAUUGCAUGCUCUAUACUUGGGUUUGACCAAAACUGACUUCCACAUAACAUUUUGUAUAUUACUCUCCAGUUUGAGAGCCUGUAAUAACCCCUUGUUGCUCAGUGGAUACA
Myotis brandtii (Brandt's bat) is the source of this 1527-nucleotide long non-coding RNA. RefSeq lists it as uncharacterized. Lineage: Eukaryota; Metazoa; Chordata; Mammalia; Chiroptera; Vespertilionidae. The record is from RefSeq and is a predicted model, not a curated record. The transcript is spliced from 4 exons.